Molecule: long non-coding RNA, 2522 nt
Organism: Pteropus alecto (black flying fox)
Lineage: Eukaryota; Metazoa; Chordata; Mammalia; Chiroptera; Pteropodidae
Exons: 3
Source: RefSeq, a predicted model, not a curated record
AAUAACCUGAAUCUAAUCAUGAGGAAACCACCAAAAAGUCCAAACUGAUGGACAUUCUAUAAGAUAACUAAUUGGCUUAUAAUUUUCAAAAAACGUCAAGUUCAUAGAAGUUAAGGAAAGACUAAAGAGGCAUGACGCCUGAGCCUGUGGGUUCAACUGGGAACAGGAAGCAACUUCCUUCCUCUCUAGGGACACUGCAUUCUAGUUGCUAUGAGGGACAUAAUUGAGACAACUGGCAAACCUGAAUGAGGCCUGUGGAUCAGACAGUACUAAUGUCAAUUGCCUGAUUCUGAGGGCGACAUUGUGAUCAUGCUGGAGAGCGUCCUUGUUUGUAGGAAAGACACACUCAAGGAUUCAGGAGUGACGGGACAUCAUUUUGGCAAGUUACUCUCCAAAGGUUCAGGAAAAAAAAAAAAAAUUCUUUGUACUACUUUUUCAACUUAAUGUAAGUCUGAAAUUAGUUGCAAAGAAAAAGACUUGGCAAGAAAGACAAUAGCAAAUUGCAGAAGUGAUUUACAGUCCAAAAGGGGAAAUGACAGUAUUUCUGCAAAUAAAACAAACUCUGGAAAAUUCUCUCUUGUACUUACACUGCUGGCAGUUUUUUCUUAAUCCAGGCACCAUGACUGUAUUAAGUAUACAUAUCUAUCACUUUAUCUAUCCAUCCGUAAGGGGCAGUAACAAUUAUCUGAAAAAGGAGCCUCGAAGCCUCAAGAUGGUGCAUAAUUCAUUUAAAUUGUAGGUUGUGUAAAAAACUAAAAGUGAGAUGACCAAAAAAGCUCAUGUGCAUGUUUUAGAGAAGGCUCAGGUUUAAGCAUCAACAAUUAUCUCCAGUCAAACUUCUGCAUUAAUAUUUAAUUGAAGUUAUUUAAAUUUUUUAAAAACUUUAAGGUUGGUUUUCCAGGUAAAUUAUCUCACUCCAUAGGUUAUGUUAGCAGCAAAGGAACAAGUCAGAAGCACCAGCCCCGCGCUACCACUGAUAGCAUUUUCUGGAUAUUUGACAUUCAGAGACCCCAUUCCACUAUAUUCUCUGUAGGAUAUUUCAGGCCAGCUCCAAGUUGUCAUCCGAGCUCCCAAAAUUGGCAUUCCCAGCAUAGUUUCAUUUUCUUUCAUAACAAUAUCCCCACUGCCACAGCCUUUCAAGAAUUUGGCUCAUAAAAGGCCCACCAUGACUAAGGGUUUUGCUUUUUGUUCCUCAUUUACAACUUGUCCUCAAUUUGUAGAAUCUGGGGCUUGAAUAACCUUCAGUUCUACUUGCUCUAACUUGGCUGAAGAUUUCAGUAACUACUUGGGCCUCAGAGUAACACACAGAGAACAUAUGUACUAUUCUCCCAGAGAGUAGCUGUAACACUAUAAGAAUAGAAAGUGAAACCAGCGGGUCAAGUACAAUCCCUUCCUUCAACACAGCUGUAUCAAACAGCGGAAUUCUGACUGCUCUCCCUACCCCCAGCCCCAAUCUGUUAUCUGCCCUGCAGCUAGAGUACUCUUCUAAAAGCACAAAUAUGAUCUGCUCAAAGCUGACUGUUGUCGCCUGCACCUGCUCCAGCUUCAUCUUCCCGCCCUGUACAACUCUCGGAACUUCCAGGCAGUGGUCUGCGCCAGGGCGUCCACGUCUCUGCCUCCUAGCCUCAAGAACAUCCCUUUUCACUGGCUAACGCUUACAUUCUUCAGGUCUCAGCUUUAAAAUCACUUUCUUGGCAAGCCUCCUUAGUGUCUGCAGGCCAGGCCCCAAAUCUGUCUGUCCCACUGGACGCUAAUCUCCAUGAGGCCCAAGACCGAUUCUGUCUGUUCACCACUCCUACAGUAUGGCGAAGGCUGAUGAUUAAUAAACUAUGAACUUACAAUGUCUACCAGGCAAGAAGGAACAGAGAGGAGACCUGCAGCCUAGUAAAAGAAAGCUGGGACACAAGCAGUUAGAUUGAGGAAAACGAUGAUUUGCCAUAAAAAAGAAAAGGUUCUGUGGGACCUGGGUAGAAAUUCAGUUCUGAGAUCCUUGGUCGCAUACCUGGCAGUGGGAAGAAAGAAAACACACUACGGCUAAAGAGGACCAGGGUGAAGACACCCCCAGAGACCUUCCUACCGCAAGGGCCGAGGGUCCCUGACGUCUGAUGAGAGGAAACACCUGGAUACACCCCAGUACAUCAAGCAGGGCUGAUGGACUUUCCACGUCCUUUCUGGUCCUGUUCCUUACUGGAAAACAGAGCACACAAGCCCUGUUAGCCCUAAGGUACUACAGAUGGGUUUGUAUCUGAACAGGAAAUAAAUGGAGAAUUAGGCCAAUCAUUAGAAUUUAAUUCAACCAAUAUUUAUUGAGUACUGGGUACUGCUGAGGCCUCACAACAGCACUCCAAAAUUUAUAAUGGGGUCAAAAGGGCGGUCAUUGAUAAUACAUGCAGAGUGUAAUAUAUUGAAAUAUAGCAAAGAAAUAUAAUAGGGCCUUUGAUACAACCAAGUGAAGACCCCAAGCAAAUAUCCAAUAAAUGCUAUGGGAGCACCCAGACUACCAAGCUGGUAUGGCCUCCGCU